Molecule: ribosomal RNA, 484 nt
Filed under: uncultured bacterium
Lineage: Bacteria
Description: partial 16S ribosomal RNA
Rfam family: Bacterial small subunit ribosomal RNA
Source: RNAcentral
AUUGAACGCUGGCGGCAGGCCUAACACAUGCAAGUCGAGCGGACGAACGGAGCUUGCUCCUGUAUUCAGUGGCGGACGGGCGAGUAAUGCCUACGAAUCUGCCUGGUAGUGGGGGAUAACGUCCGGACACGGGCGCUAAUAUCGCAUACGUCCUGAUGUAGAAAGUGGUGGAUCUUCAGACCACACGCUAUCAGAUGAGCCUAGGUCGCAUUAGCUAGUUGGUGGGGUAAAGGCCUACCAAGGCGACGAUCCGUAACAGGUCUGAGAGGGUGAUCGGUCACACUGGAACUGAGACACGGUCCAGACUCCUACGGGAGGCAGCAGUGGGGAAUAUUGGACAAUGGGCGAAAGCCUGAUGCAGCCAUGCCGCGUGAGUGAAGAAGGUCUUCGGAUUGUAAAGCACUUUAAGUUGGGAGGAAGGGCAGUAAGUUUAUACCUGGCUGUUUUGACGUUACCAACAGAGUAAGCACCGGCUAACUUCGUG